Molecule: ribosomal RNA, 424 nt
Filed under: uncultured bacterium
Lineage: Bacteria
Description: bacterial SSU rRNA
Rfam family: Bacterial small subunit ribosomal RNA
Source: RNAcentral
GGAAUUGUUCACAAUGGGCGCAAGCCUGAUGACGCAACGCCGCGUGGGGGAUGAAGGUCUUCGGAUCGUAAACCCUUGUCGAACGGGAAGAAUGACUCGCGUACUAAUACCGCGCGGGAAUGACGGUAUCGUUAAAGGAAGCCACGGCUAACUCUGUGCCAGCAGCCGCGGUAAUACAGAGGUGGCAAGCGUUGUUCGGAAUUACUGGGCGUAAAGGGCGCGUAGGCGGCCAUCUAAGUCAGACGUGAAAUCCCCCGGCUUAACCUGGGAACUGCGUCUGAUACUGGAAGGCUCGAGUUUGGGAGAGGGAUGCAGGAUUCCAGGUGUAGCGGUGAAAUGCGUAGAUAUCUGGAGGAAUACCGGUGGCGAAGGCGGCAUCCUGGACCGACAUUGACGCUGAGGAGCGAAAGCUAGGGGAGCAAAC